GGGUCUAUAGUUCAGUCCCUGUCAUUCUCGAAUGACGGGGUAUGGUAGAAUAUCGGUCCUAGCCCCGUCGCUCGUGAGCGACGGGGUCCAAAACCGAGAUGUAAGUUCGAUCCUUACUAGACUCU
This 125-nucleotide transfer RNA is filed under the name Minisyncoccota bacterium. Its description in RNAcentral is "tRNA-OTHER". The record is from RNAcentral. Lineage: Bacteria; Bacillati; Minisyncoccota.